GAUAAACGCUGGCGGCGCACAUAAGACAUGCAAGUCGAACGGACUUAACCAUUAGUUUACUAUUGGAGCGGUUAGUGGCGGACUGGUGAGUAACACGUAAGCAACCUGCCUAUCAGAGGGGAACAACAGUUAGAAAUGACUGCUAAUACCGCAUAUGCCUUAAUUAUCACAUGAUAAUAGAGGGAAAGGAGCAAUCCGCUGAUAGAUGGGCUUGCGUCUGAUUAGAUAGUUGGUAAGGUAACGGCUCACCAAGGCGACGAUCAGUAGCCGACCUGAGAGGGUGACCGGCCACAUUGGGACUGAGACACGGCCCAA
Molecule: ribosomal RNA, 315 nt
Filed under: uncultured bacterium
Lineage: Bacteria
Description: bacterial SSU rRNA
Rfam family: Bacterial small subunit ribosomal RNA
Source: RNAcentral